Molecule: small RNA, 838 nt
Filed under: Pongo abelii (Sumatran orangutan)
Lineage: Eukaryota; Metazoa; Chordata; Mammalia; Primates; Hominidae
Description: processed transcript
Source: RNAcentral
CUUGGGAUGUGGUAAUGCCAGCCACACUCCUCAGAGCCGUGGCUGGAUCUCAUCUUGUAUUAUCAAAAGCACAUCAGUGCCGAAGAAUCGGUCAUCUAAUGUUAAAACCACUUAAGGAAUUUGAAAAUACAACAUGCAGCACACUGGCAAUACGUCAAAACUUGGAUUUGUUCCUUCCUGAUAAAACAGCUGGUGGUUUGAAUAAGUCUCAGAUCCUGGAAAUGAACCAAAAAAAGUCAGAUACAAGCAUGCUGUCUCCAUUAAAUGCUGCUCAUUAUCAAGAUGAAAAGGCACACCUUCCAACCAUGAAAUCCUUUGGUACUCACAGGAGAGUGACCCACAAACCAAAUCUAUUGGAUUCUAAAUGGUUUAUAAAAAUAUUAAAGAGGCAUUUCUCAUCUGUAUCAACGGAAACACUUGUUCCAAAACAAGACUUCCCACAGAUGAAGAGACCACUAAAAGCAUCCAGGACCAGACAGCCAUCCAGGACCAACCUUCCAGUUGUAUCUGUGAACGAGGACCUAAUGCACUGCACAGCAUUUGCAACGGCAGAUGAGUAUCAUCUGGGAAAUCUGUCUCAAGAUCUGGCCUCCCACGGAUAUGUUGAAGUAACAAGCUUGCCUAGAGGUACUUCUUCUUGAACCUGGGGCCAAGUAUGUUAAAAUGUAUUGGAUAAUUUUCCUGUGAUACUAUCUUAAGUAUGUAUUUGUUUGCAAUUCAUUUUCUUUUGAAAGGAUUGUAUCAUAGAAGUGGAUGUUGAAUCUCUUUAUACGGAUGACAAAGUUAAGAAUUAAAAUGUAUUUACAGAGAACUCAUUAAAAUCAGUAUGAUUUAUUAA